AAAAAUAGGACUCAUGUUAGCAAGAUGCACAUGAAAAGUAUUAGAUGUCAAGUCUAUGGUUAGUGGAUAAUUUAGCAUUAAAUAUGCCCAUAUAUGUUCUAUCAAACUAUAUUUUUUUAAAACUAUUUCUUUUACAAAAAGAUAUCUGAUAUCGAUGAAUUUUGACUUUGUAGAAUUCAUAUUGUUAUUGGAGUAGAGCACAAAUAAAAUUGAGAAAAUUACCCCUUUUUCACGCCAUGCAACAUACUUGGAACAAUCCUUCUUCACAAGUUUCCGUUUCUUGCAAAAGAAGCAUGCAGACUCCUUAGAUUACUCAUUUGCCUUCUUAUUUUGAGAAAAGUUUUUCACAUACUUCUUCCUUUUAUUUUGUGAGCUAGUAGCCAAGUGAGCAUUUUUAGUCAUCUCUCUCAUCAUCUCUUUUUC
Molecule: long non-coding RNA, 423 nt
Filed under: Lathyrus oleraceus (garden pea)
Lineage: Eukaryota; Viridiplantae; Streptophyta; Magnoliopsida; Fabales; Fabaceae
Description: Pisum sativum (pea) long non-coding RNA (PSAT_LNC032193)
Source: RNAcentral